Molecule: long non-coding RNA, 7402 nt
Filed under: Lactuca sativa (garden lettuce)
Lineage: Eukaryota; Viridiplantae; Streptophyta; Magnoliopsida; Asterales; Asteraceae
Description: long non-coding RNA (LSAT_LNC007526)
Source: RNAcentral
AGCUAGUUAUAUAUGGUGAGGGCACCAGAGUAGGAUCGGGGUUUUGUUCAGCUGCCAGGGCUCAGCAGUACAUUCAUCAUGGGUGUAUGAGUUAUCUAGCGUACGUGGUAGAUACGCGAGUCGGGGACCAGAUUUCUGAUGGGUUUUGAGCAUUCUAACACUUCCUAAGUGUACAUGCAACCCUAAUAACAUUGGAUCUAUGUUUGUCUAAUUAUCAUGCAAAGUUGAAUUUCCAAGGUUAUAUUCCUAUCUAGCAUACAUGGGGAACAAUUUUAACUUGAAUGAAAGAUAGAAUAAGUUACCUUGUUGUUGCUUAUGUUCCUUGAAACCUUGUGAGCCUAGCACCCCAAGUGUGAUGCCUCAAAUGCUUCACACAACACCAAAUGCUCUUGGAAAGACUUUUGAGAGAACACACACUUCUUAAAAUCGGCCAAGCCCUCUAGUUUCUUAUGUGUGUACGAUUUUGUGGAGAAUGGGACUCUUAUAUAGUGUUGACACAUCUAGGGUUACACCAUGUAAACCCUAAUGUGUCAUGACUCUUCAUUUCCAUGACCCAUGGGUUUGUAACUCCCAUGGAGCAUCCAUGGAGCAUCCUAUGGGUAGAACCCAACUUGAUAAUCCAUGGAGCCUCUUAGCCCACUAUACAAGAUAUGGAUGAUUUACAUAAUCAACCCAUAUAUUUAAUUAGUUAUCCUUUGAUCACUUAAUUAAUUCCAAAUUAAUUCUUUGAUCAACUAAUCAAAUAAUAUUAUUAAUAUAUUAGAACUUAUAAUAUAUUAAUAAUCUCCAAGUGUUAUUUCUCUCAUUUAGUCUAUCCAAUUGCAUGGUGCCAUGCAACCCAAAUGGACCAUGCCGGGUCGGGUCAAGUACAAGCCCGAAAUAGUUAUGGACUUAGACACCUUAUCCAACAGUCUCCCACUUGGAUAAGUCUAAUAACUAUAUCUCUAGUACUUCAGGAACCGACCGGCAAUCGUAGCUCUUUCAAGGUCUCUCGGAACUGAGAAGAUGAUGGUACGCCAUUUAAGAUAAGUGAUCAUAUAAUCCUCCGUUCUAGAUAUCAGCCGGACAAAUACAUGGAACAUUGUCUUGCUUAUUGUCCAGCAUUUGUUUCCCGAUUUCCGAUUUGUUUGACAUAGAACUUAAUUGAACACAUCAACUUAGUUCUGACCGGGCCCGGUACAUGGGUCAAAACAAAAUCAUCGAGGGGCCCAGAUAUCAGCUUCUAAUCCAAGAAGGAACAGAUAAACUUCGACUCAUAUGUUUGUUCUACCACUCAUUGAAUUACACACAAAAGUACGUUUUAUAACAUCGAGUUACCAAUGCGGUUUCGUACAGUCAAUGCAUAACCAACUUGUAAGUAACAAAUCAUAUCUCUAGGUUUGAAGACUUAUAUGAUAUUACCGUCUCACGAUCACUCGAGAUAGAAUUCCAUGAAGUGAUUCCAGUGAGCGUGGGUUGAGUCCAAUGCUCAGAACUUAUGAGCACUCAUGAUUGUUGUAGCCUUGUCCAACACCUUAGACCUCUACAACCCAUCAUGACAGUCUUGAUUCAUACCUACUUCCGACAUAUGACCGACUGUGGAGGUUUGAAUAAUAUGUUACACCAAACAAAAUUAUUCUGGAAGUCAAAACAUGCAAAAGAAAUAUAGUAAACGAUUGACAAGAGAUAGCAACACUUUACUCAUAAAUAAAACACCUUUUAUUCAUCAUCAAAUGUCAAUUACACUUUACAAAUUUCUGGGUUAUCUAACUACUAAAACUUAUAUCAUCCUUCAGCCCUAUGCUCCGAGCAUGCUGGAGAUGCUUAACCCUACUCAGUCCCUUCGUGAGGGGAUCUGCUGGGUUCUCAUCCGAUGAUACCCUCUUUGCCACGAGGAGUCCUUCUUCGAUCCGAUGUCUAAUGAAAUGGUAUUUUCUGUCGAUGUGUCUGGAUCUCCCAUGAUCCCUUGGUUCCUUGGCUAAGGCAACAGCACUUUCACUAUCACAGAAAAUUUCCAUUGGCUCUUUAAUAGCUGGUACAACUCCAAGGUCUCCAAUGAAGUUCUUCAGCCAUAUCGCCUCCUUUGCUGCUUCGCUAGCUGCAAUAUACUCUGAUUCACAAGUAGAAUCUGCCACUGUCUCUUGCUUGGAACUCUUCCAAGAAAUUGCUCCUCCGUUUAGGGUAAAGACCCAGCCCGACUGAGAGCGGAAAUUAUCCCUAUCAGUCUGGAAGCUAGCAUCACUAUACCCUACAACUCUCAAGUCAUCACUCCCACCGAGGGUAAGGACCCAGUCCUUAGUCCUCCGUAGGUACUUGAGGAUAUUCUUUACCGCAGUCCAGUGUGCCUUGCCAGGGUUCGCCUGAUACCUGCUAACCAUGCUCAAGGCAAAAGCUACAUCGGGUCGAGUACACGUCAUAGCAUACAUGAUCGAUCCUACAGCCGAAGCGUAAGGUGUUCGACUCAUUUCUGCUAUCUCAGCCUCAGUGCUAGGGCUUUGUGUCUUACUCAAUCUGGUGUUACUCUGGAUGGGUAACUCUCCUUUCUUGGAAUCCUGCAUGCUGAAUCUCUUCAGCACCUUAUCCAAGUAGGUACUCUGACUAAGUCCAAUUAGUCUUUUACUCCGAUCUCUCAAGAUUCUUAUCCCUAGAAUAUAGGCAGCUUCACCAAGGUCCUUCAUAGCGAAACACUUCCCAAGCCAGGACUUUACUUCCUGCAGGGUUGGAAUGUCGUUUCCUAUGAGUAGUAUGUCAUCCACAUACAAUACCAAAAAGCUAACUAUACUCCCACUAGCCUUGACAUACACACAAGAUUCAUCUUCACUCCUAGAAAAGCCAAAUUCCUUGACCUUUUCAUCAAAGCAAAGAUUCCAUCUGCGAGGUGCUUGCUUCAAUCCAUAAAUGGAUUUCUCAAGCUUACACACUCUAUUAGGGUACUCGUUGCUGACAAAACCCUCUGGCUGACUCAUGUAAACAUCUUCAGCCAACUUUCCAUUAAGGAAAGCGGUUUUGACAUCCAUCUGCCAUAUUUCAUAGUCAUGAAAUGCAGCUAUGGCUAACAGAACCCGAAUAGACUUAAUCUUGGCUACCGGAGAAAAGGUCUCAUCAUAAUCCACUCCAGGAAUUUGAGAGAAGCCCUUUGCAACCAGUCUAGCCUUAUAAGUGUGUACUUUACCAUCCAUGUCGGUCUUCUUCUUGAAGACCCAUUUGCACCCUACUGUCUUACGACCUGGUACAUUUUCAACCAAGUUCCAAACUUGAUUGUCAUACAUGGAUUGUAUCUCGCUAUCCAUAGCCUCUUUCCAUUUAGCAGACUCGGGGCCUGCCAUGGCUUCCUCGUAGCUGUUAGGGUCAUCUUGACUUACUAGUGUCUCAUCACUAAUAAGUGUCUCACCUUCUGCAGUAAUAUGGAAUCCAUAGUAAUGCUCAGGUGCACUCCUAACUCUCGUGGAACGUCUCAGAGGUACAGAUUUGUCAAUUGGCUCAACAGGAGUUUCCUCCUCAAGUUGAGGGCUAGAGUUUGAAGUUCCUUCACCGCUUGAUUCUUGAAUUUCUUCAAGAUCAAUUUGCCUCCCACUGUCUCCUUGGCUUAUAAACUCUCUUUCUCGAAAGACUCCUCUUCUUGCUACAAAGACCACAUUGUCACUAGGUCUGUAGAAGAGGUAACCAAAGGAUCGCUGUGGGUAACCGAUGAAAAUACACCUCUCGCUUCGAGGUUCGAGCUUAUCAUGAGUCUCGCGUCUCACGAAAGCCUCGCAACCCCAAAUCUUGAUGUGGUCUAGUUUAGGUACUUUACCAGUCCACAUCUCGUGAGGAGUUUUGGCAACUUUCUUUGUAGGGACUAGAUUAAGAAUAUGGGCGGCAGUCUCUAAGGCAUACCCCCAGAAUGAGAUUGGUAGCGUAGCUCGACUCAUCAUGGAACGAACCAUAUCUAACAAGGUUCGAUUACGCCUCUCAGCCACACCAUUCAACUGUGGUGUCCUGGGAGGUGUCAAUUGUGAGACUAUCCCACAUUCCCUUAGAUAGUCGAGGAACUCUGAACUAAGAUACUCACCACCACGAUCGGAUCGAAGCAUCUUAAUGUUCCUGCCCAAUUGAUUCUCGACUUCCUGUUUAAAUUCCUUAAACCUCUCGAAAGUCUCUGACUUAUGCUUGAUCAAGUAGACAUAUCCAUAUCUACUAUAAUCAUCAGUAAAAGUCAAAUAAUAACGAUUAGCAUCCCUUGUGGCAUGUUUGAAUGGUCCACACACAUCCGUGUGUAUAAGGUCCAACAAACCUUCACCCCUCUCACACGAACCUGUGAAGGGUGACUUUGUCAUUUUUCCAAGUAAGCAUGAUUCGCAACUAUCAUCUGACUUUAGGUCAAACGACUCCAAGACUCCAUCCUUUUGGAGUUGGCCUAUGCGUUUCUUGCUUAUAUGUCCAAGACGACAAUGCCAUAAAGAUGCUUUAUCCAAGUUAUUAUUAGUAGAAUCAAUACACAAAACAUUAUUUCCCAAGUUAUCUACAACAGAUACAGCUUCAUACACACCAUCACAAGGUAAUGCUUUAAAAUAAAAGACAUUAUUAUAGAAAACAUCUAUAGAACCAACUUCAUUAUUAAAUGAAAAGGUAAACCCUUGUUUGUACAAAGCAUGAAAGGAAAUAAUAUUUCUUGCCAUUCCUGGCGAAUAACAACACUUAUUCAAAUCUAAACUAAACCCACUACUUAGCGAUAAAGUAUAAACUCCAAUCUUGGUAACAGGUAUAGCUUUCCUAUUCCCCAUGAUCAAGUUUAUCCUUCCUUGCUCCACAUCCUCACUUCUUCUUAGUCCCUGCAAGUCACAACAAAUGUGAAUACCACACCCGGUAUCAAGGACCCAAGAAUUAGAAUGGGGUGAGUUAUUAGAAAUGAUAGUGUAAAUACCUGCAUGGUUGGGUUUAACUUUCCCAUCCUUCACAUCUUGCUGGUAUUUUGGGCAGUUCCGCUUCCAAUGAGCUUUUUCAUGGCAAUAGAAGCAUUCAGCCUCUUUUGGGUCAGAAGAAGGAGUAAUGAAACCUUUCUUGGUUCCACUUGAAGAAGAGCCAUCAAGGGUCCGAACCUUGGUACCCUUAGAAGAGCUCUUUCUCUUCCUCCCUCGACUUUUCCCGAUUGCCAAAACCGGAGUAGAGUUUUGAGUAGGAGUGAUAGCAACCGACUUCCCCUUAAGACCUGAUUCUGCGGUCUUGAGAAGUCCCUGAAGUUUGCUGAGGGUGACUUCUUCCUUGUUCAUGUGAUAUGUCAUGCGGAAUUGAUCAUAGCACGAUGGUAAGGAAUGCAAAAUAAUAUCUAUUGCAAGAUCCUCCGGGAAGUUCACAUUAAGCUUCAGCAAACGAUCCACAUACCUUUGCAUUUUCUGCAUGUGGCUCGUGACGGAUUCCCCGUCCUUCAUCAUGGUUGUUAUCAUGGAGCAGAUGAUUUCAUACCUCUCUUGUCUUGCACUUUGAUGGUAUCUUUCCAUCAAAUCUUGGUGCAUUUCAUAAGGGUAGAAAUCCUCAUAAGACUUUUGGAGUUCCGCUGUCAUCGUGGCCAUCAUGAUGCAAGCCACUUUCGUAGCAUCCCUUUCAUGUGCCCGAAAUUCAGCGAUCUCCUGAGGAGUUGCAGUGGACUCAUCAAUCUCCUUAAGCUCCUUGUCAAGGACAUAUUCUUUGUCCUCGUAGCGGGUAAUCAUCCUGAUGUUUCUGAUCCACUCAUUGAAGUUGGAUCCAUCAAAGGUGACUUUCCCACACAAGUUCAUAAGGGUAAAGGAGCCAUUAGGAUUAGAGCCAGAAGCAUUGUUGAAAGACAUCUGAAGGAAAGAGGACAAGAUUAGUUUAGAUAUAAGAGAGUCCUUAAUAAAACACCCAAAUGUAAUAUUAAGGCUAGGAUCCAAUCACAAUAUAAUAUAACUUAGAAGAGGUAUGCCGUAAUCUAAGCUAUAUCAUAUUUGAAAGGUAGGUGAAUGACGAUUCACCAAUUUCCACCACGAAAACCGCAAUAUUUUAGUAUUAGGUUUUUGAAUGGUUCUUAGAAAUUCCUAGAUUCUUUGAGAUUCAAUGAACUUUUCAAAGGCAUGUUUCAAUCUCGAGUGUGCCCUCCAAGUUUUGUGACUGGGAUACCGAGGAUCACAAAACGAGGUGUGAAGUAACCAUGCAAAUCACUUGGUACCCUUAAAGUUUAUCACUCAAUCGAUGUGCCGGUUAACCACACACGCUCCAUCGAUACUAUAAUAAACCCUAAGUCACCCUUUACCUACCUUGUUAAGUCCAAGUUAGUGUGCCGGUUAACCACACACGCUCCACCAACGACUUAAUCAAAGUGUAAAGUGUAAUUUCAUGGAAUAGCACCUUAUUCACAUUUUUCCUAAAGUAACUAAGAUUGGGAAUUUAAUAAAACAUUUAGUUACUUUAUAAUAUUCAUCAUACUUUGAAUGAGAAUUAAUAAGUCCUUGUCUUACCCGUUCGGCUAACGACCCUCCACCGAUCAAGCAAGCGGUGGGUGAGAGUGGACACCCAUUAAGUCACCAUUUUAUAGGCAACAACCUUAUACCCACCUUAUAGACCGGCUUCGUGAAUGAGGCGUACUAGCGGUAAGACGACUUUGUUCUUAUACAUAUAUAUAUAAUUAUUAAAUCAUAAUAAUAUAAGUAUAAGGGUUGAAUUUUAACUUUUAAAAUUCUAGGGGUUGGAACUAAAGUUUUAACUUAACUUUACUUGUUCCAAAACUUGAGGGCAAGUUUUGUAAACUUUCAAAACUUUUCAUUUCUUGUAACUUAUGAGUUUAAUAGAGUAAUAAAAUGAGGACUUUUCAUUUUUCCUAACUCUUGUGUUCUUUUAAUGUUUUUUAAUCCAAGAGACUUUUGGUUUUCCAUAACUUGAGGACAAGUUAUGGACUCCAUUAAAACACAUUAUGAUCAUGAAUUAAUCUACCACAUAGGUUACAAAUAAUUCCUAUGAUCAUCUAAACAUCAUAAGAACAAGAAUAUGAAUAUGAACACUUUCAAGAAUCAAAAUCACAUUUAAUCUUUGUAAUUUUGAUAACUAGUUGUUGUAAAUGAGUUAGAAAAGACAUUACACCUUCUAAAAUAAGUUUUCAAGUACCAAAACAUUUUAGGGUAAUGAUUCUAAUCCAUUUCCAGCAACUCAAGUCGAAAUUCUGCACUCUGUCGACCCUACUCGCCGAGUGCAUAAACCUACUCGCCGAGUAGGUUGAAGAUACACAUGAACUCGACGAGUCCUCCCCAUGGACUCGCCGAGUCCAUCAGUCAGACAGCAAGAUUUUCGACUUUCUUCAACUUUUAAGCACAAAUAACAAACAAACAAGCCUAGGCUCUGAUACCACUGAUGGGUUUUGAGCAUUCUAACACUUCCUAAGUGUACAUGCAACCCUAAUAACCUUGGAUCUAUGUUUGUCUAAUUAUCAUGCAAA